RNAcentral lists this transfer RNA (72 nucleotides) under Camelus bactrianus (Bactrian camel). It matches the Rfam family "tRNA". From Rfam's summary of the family: Transfer RNA (tRNA) molecules are approximately 80 nucleotides in length. RNAcentral also lists the same sequence under 1 other name. Lineage: Eukaryota; Metazoa; Chordata; Mammalia; Artiodactyla; Camelidae. The record is from Rfam by way of RNAcentral.
GAGAGUAUAGCUCAGUGGUAGAGCACAUGCUUAGCAUGCACGAGGUCCUGGGCUCAAUCCCCAGUACCUCCA